This 1452-nucleotide long non-coding RNA is filed under the name Dasypus novemcinctus (nine-banded armadillo). RNAcentral's name for it is "lncRNA (ENSDNOG00000051702.1)". Lineage: Eukaryota; Metazoa; Chordata; Mammalia; Cingulata; Dasypodidae. The record is from RNAcentral.
UGAAGUACUCCUCACUACCAGCUCCAGCUCAGGGGCAAGUGCAAGAACCUGGGCUAUCCAGCCUGGGAAAAAAAGAAGUCUCCGGAAACGCAGUGGCUGUCUUCAGUAGAACUGCCCUUGAAACUGGGAUCUUCACGGUGCAGCAGAGGCCAAGUGGGCAGCUGAGGCGGUCACGCGCGCCCUCCUCACCUUGGCUUGCAGCUCCGUGUGGAUGUCCCAUGUCCAGCUUUCUCCAGCAGCUCCACCUGGGACUCAGCGAUGCAUCAAGCCAUCCAUCUGCCACGGUACAGCAGGAGUUAGAGGCCUUGGGAGAGGAGGCGUUGCUAACUGCUCCGCAACGUGACCCCUCAUCAGCAGGAACCCCAUCAGCCAGGGCAGGUAAGGGACUCCCUGCUCUGUCAGGCAUGUGGGUCAUCAGGUGGACGGCGGGCCAGGAGAAGGGCACUGGGAAGGGGGGGGCGGCUCUUGGCGGCAAGUGACAAAAACCCAACCUGCCCUGAACCCGGCCCAAAAGGGGGAUCCACCGGCUUGGUGACGUCAGGGCACCCUGGUGUCAGCUGCUUCUCCGUCCUCCCUCCUCCCUGCCGGGGCCCCUGGGAGCUUGCAGGCUUGCCUCUCCCCAGCCUCCCCCCUGGAGAGGAGGGUGCUCAGGCCUCUGCUCGGUCUGGAAGUACUUUGGGGAAGGACUUGGUCAUGCAGCAGGGGCUGAGUGCUGUAAAUCCGCAGCCCUCCCUGGGGCUGCAAGUGGGCGUACGGAUUGGCCAGUCCACCUGAGGUCUUAGAUCCCACCAGAUGGCCGUCUGCGCUGUUACUGACCAUGUCCUUAUAUCUCUAAUGUUACUAAUGUAUUUUUUUUAAUUUUAAACUUUUUAUUUUGAAAUUCUUUCAAACCUACAUAACAGAAAAAUAAUACAGAUCCCACAUAGAAAACCCCAACCUCCCCUUACCCUCCUAGAUCACCAAUUUUGCCGCUCUGCCCUAUCGUUCCCAUAUCUCUUGUUCACUUUUGCAGUCAGUGGGGUUAGCACCCCGACACGUGCCUCGUGGACACCCCCCCGCCCCCCAGGAAACCACUCAGUAUUACCAGGUUCUUCAAAUUCACCGCCCCACCAACUGAAUAAAUGCUCCAGUACUUCCAGAUGUCCUAAGAUUGCUCAUGCUUCACAAAAUACUGGUUCACUUGGUCACAACUUAAUUCAUGUUUGUGAUUUAUCUUCUUUUUUUCCCCUCAGGGGUGAUAAAUGUCCAGUGACCCUCGUGUAGGGUUCCUCAAAAUAUUUUUGAUGUUAAAGAGAUUCUUCACGCUCAGAGAAAUGGGAACCCCCGUUUUUUUGUUUAAUGUGUAGCAGUUACACAGUUGCCCAAUUUUCUGAGGCAAGACGACCAGGCAACACCAGUGCACUUUUCUUAAAUGAAACAUCCUGUUUCCUAAAUAAAACUUCUAAAGAACAC